GGUACAUAAUUUUCGUAAUAUGUUCAGCGCAGUUCUCUUCCUCUCCUGCUCGUCCCUCCAUUCCCCACACUGUUCUUGUGUGAUUCGCUCCACCACUGACCAGCAACCACUUCAUAUCCCUUUGCCUGAUUUGAUCAUUGAUCCUCUCAUCCUCCCCCAAAAACCCGUGCAAAGCCCAAAGUAUUUAUAGGUGUAUACUUGGGCUCCCGAAUGAAAUACUCCCUCAAUUAGGGGCUCGUGUUAUGCUUCUUUCAAAAGAAGAGAACGUAAGUAAUAGGCUUUUCCUUGAUUUUUUUUUUCAAGGGUCAUGUUGGUGUUUGAUUACAGUGUGGGAUUGGUUUUUAGGCUUUUCUUUUGGUUUAAAUGCAGAAAUUUUAAGAUGCCUUUUGUGGGAAUAAUGAAGAUAAUGAGUACAGGAUUUUGAUUUUCCAUCUAUUUAAUUGUUUAUGUCUGUUCACAGUGGUUUAAUUCUUUACUCUCUCUGCAUCUUCACCUUGUUGAUUGAUUAAUAAAAUGAUAUACACAUAAUCAUAUAUGGGAAAAUGAGUUAGCUAGAUUGAAGUGGUACCCUUUUUUGAUUGCCUCUCAGCCAUUCUCAGCCAUACUGCUUUGAGUUUGGGGUUGCUUUUGUGUUGGACUUUUUUUUAUCUCUCUCUCUCUCUCUCUCUCUCUCUCUCUCUCUCUCUCUCUCUAUAUAUAUAUAUAUAUAUAUAUAUAUAUAUAUAUCUGUGUGUGUGUGUGUAUCAUUUUAGAAGACCCAAUUUGAAGAAAUUUCCCAAGACAGACAAACUAAACCCCAUUUGAUUCAAACGGCAAUAGCAAUUGAUGAUAAUGUUUAGGGUAUAUUCAUUAAGAAAAAUAGGACAGAGAAGCAUUUGUUUGAAGAGAGGGAUGACGGCCGAAUAAUGUUCGAGUUUGGAAAGUUGAGUCAAGAUUUGAUUGACAAUUAGGGUAUAUGCAUAACUGUCAUCUGUUCUUCGUUUUCUUUCUUCUGCUUUUGGUUUCUCUCUGUUUUAUUUUUCUCCUUUUACACCAUUCUUUUCCCUCUUCAUCCGUCAUUUUCCCACUAUUUCAAGAGUUAAAAUUAAUGUUUCUUCCUCUUAUUUUUCUUUUCUCUUCGUUUUUCAUUGUUCUUUUCUUGUCCAGGCGUCCAAAAAGUCGUAUGUUCUUCAUUUUCUUUCUUCUGCUUUUGCUUUCUCUCUUUGUUUUACUUUUCUCCUUUUACCAUUCUUUUCUCUCUUCAUCCAUCAUUUUCCCACUAUCAAGAGUUGAAACAUUGAGAAUUUUCAUAAUGUCAGCUUUCAUUGGGACUGAAUUGAUCAGUUAACCAACUGUUGAUCAACCGAGAAUUUUAGACGGUCACAAUUGGAACAUAGACUAAUCUAGGUCGGAUUCAAUGUUCAGCAAUAUUUGAACCAAACUAGUAUGAGACAGGCCCUAAUACAGUCAACAUUAUUUGUUGAGUUUGUUUCUUUAUCAAUUUGGAUGCUUGAAGCUAUCAAAAUGAAAUUUUGAAUAAACCCCAUUUUGUAUAGGAGUUUGAUUAUUGGAGAUGGGAUGACUAACAAUGCAACUCUAAUAGUGAAUCCGUAUACUGCCCUUCUAGUCAAAGUUCAACAGCAAAUCUUUAUACUCCCCUACGUCCUCUCAUUAAUACAUAGAGGAAAAGUAGAUACAUAAAUACUCCGCUAGUCUAUAUAUAGUGCUCUUGUUGGUUGAAACAAAACUGCCAAUCAUCAAUAUGGAAAGACUAAAUAGCUUUAAGCACCUUAACCAUAAGUGGGCUAGUGGAGAGCAUUCUACCCUGCUUCUUCAACCUCAAGCCACAUAUGGAAACACUUUUUCAGCUUCAUAAACUUCAUGACCCUCAAAUCUGCAAUUGAACAAGGUAUACCAGAUAUCAUCAAAAAACAUGGCCGCCCCAUAACUCUUUCUGAGCUCACAUCUGCAUUACCAAUUCACCCAACAAAAGUCCCGUGUUUACCACCUCAUGUGUAUAUUGGUCCACUCCGGCUUUUUUGCAAAAAAAGAGCUGAAUGAACUGGAUGAGGAAGAAGGUUAUAUACUUACUGACGCUUCUCAGCUCCUCCUUAAGGAUCACCCCUGGCCUUCAGUAUAACACCAUUUCUAAUGACUCUGCUCAACCCUAACUUCACAAACACAUGCUAUUAUAUGAGCACUUGGUUCCAAAAUGAUGACCCUAUGCCAUUUAACAUGGCAUAUGGGAUGACAUUUUGGGACUACAUCACCCAGGAGCCAAGUCGUGCCAACCUUUUCAAUGUUGCCAUGGCUAGUGAUACUCGUUUGAUGACCAGCGUGUCACUUAUAGAGUGCAAGGGGGUAUUCGAGGGAUUGAAAUCAUUAGUUGAUAUUGGGGGUGUUAGAUCUCUCAUUGAGGUUUAUCCUUGAUACUGAGCUUCUACUUGUGUAACUGUCAGUGCAUAAAGAAUAAGAUUGUUUUCAAACUAUAAAAUUGGGAUGAUGAUUUUUUUUAUAACUUUUUC
RNA transcript from Rosa chinensis, 2504 nucleotides. It is a transcript of the gene named probable O-methyltransferase 3, with no coding region annotated. Lineage: Eukaryota; Viridiplantae; Streptophyta; Magnoliopsida; Rosales; Rosaceae. The record is from RefSeq and is a predicted model, not a curated record. The transcript is spliced from 3 exons.